AUACCUUUCUCGGCCUUUUGGCUAAGAUCAAGUGUAGUAUCUGUUCUUAUUAGUUUAAUAUCUGAUAUAUGGGCCAUUGGUCCACACGAUAUUAACUCUAUUUUUUGAGGGGGAAGGCUCAUCAAGGUAGCUUUCUACCUGGGCCUUCGUGUGUCGCCUAAGCAUCACACUACUGCUAUGCAGUGGCGGACCCAGG
Molecule: non-coding RNA, 196 nt
Organism: Capsicum annuum
Lineage: Eukaryota; Viridiplantae; Streptophyta; Magnoliopsida; Solanales; Solanaceae
Source: Rfam